CUGGGUAGCUGAGGAUACUGGGAGUCACAUAUCCAGAUGUCACGAAAAUCAGUUCGGUAGAUUCCGUGUCGCAUCGUGUGGAAGUUUGACCGGCUCACUAUGUGGUGGUAUCCGAUUUAGAGUUCCAUGAAAUCAGUAGCAAUAUCCGGUCUCCGUUCGCGCAGAAUUACACGAAAACUACCAUAGAUAGGUUGCAGCUGGUUACAUGAGAGUGCUCCCCUCGUUCGGUAGAUUAAAACCCCCGAACGCUGGUUUGAUACUAUGAGUGGAAAUAGGUCAGACGGGACUUCCAUAAUGACCGGACGUUCGUGUGAUUGCCAUGCCGUAAACAGUUCCAGGCCAUCCACGAGUAAGUCCCGCUGGCCGCAUUCGGGAGAUUUAAGAUGGCCGCCAUCCUUUGUUCUCGCCACGUGUUCGUAUGCUGAAUGGCUGCUGUGGCGGAACCAGCCUCGCCACUGGGCAUUGGAGAAGACUGAUUGCCGGCCUCCUGCCCUGUGACUAUGGCCCCAUGUUGAAAGGAUGGAUUUUC
Non-coding RNA from Pelobates cultripes (western spadefoot toad), 529 nucleotides. The record is from the annotation of a GenBank genome assembly. NCBI's taxonomy places the organism in Eukaryota, Metazoa, Chordata, Amphibia, Anura, Pelobatidae.